This 386-nucleotide ribosomal RNA is filed under the name uncultured bacterium. RNAcentral describes it as "bacterial SSU rRNA". It matches the Rfam family "Bacterial small subunit ribosomal RNA", at positions 28 to 409 of the family's 1533-position model. The record is from RNAcentral.
GACGAACGCUGGCGGCGCGCCUAACACAUGCAAGUCGAACGAGAGAUGAGGAGCUUGCUCUUCAAAUCGAGUGGCGAACGGGUGAGUAACGCGUGAGGAACCUGCCUCAAAGAGGGGGACAACAGUUGGAAACGACUGCUAAUACCGCAUAAGCCCACGGCUCGGCAUCGAGCAGAGGGAAAAGGAGCAAUCCGCUUUGAGAUGGCCUCGCGUCCGAUUAGCUAGUUGGUGAGGUAACGGCCCACCAAGGCGACGAUCGGUAGCCGGACUGAGAGGUUGAACGGCCACAUUGGGACUGAGACACGGCCCAGACUCCUACGGGAGGCAGCAGUGGGGAAUAUUGCACAAUGGGGGAAACCCUGAUGCAGCGACGCCGCGUGGAGGAA